Molecule: ribosomal RNA, 468 nt
Filed under: uncultured bacterium
Lineage: Bacteria
Description: partial 16S ribosomal RNA
Rfam family: Bacterial small subunit ribosomal RNA
Source: RNAcentral
GACGAACGCUGGCGGCGUGCUUAACACAUGCAAGUCGAACGGAAAGGCCCUGCUUUUGUGGGGUGCUCGAGUGGCGAACGGGUGAGUAACACGUGAGUAACCUGCCCUUGACUUUGGGAUAACUUCAGGAAACUGGGGCUAAUACCGGAUAGGAGCUCCUGCUGCAUGGUGGGGGUUGGAAAGUUUCGGCGGUUGGGGAUGGACUCGCGGCGUAUCAGCUUGUUGGUGGGGUAGUGGCUUACCAAGGCUUUGACGGGUAGCAGGCCUGAGAGGGUGACCGGCCACACUGGGACUGAGAUACGGCACAGACUCCUACGGGAGGCAGCAGUGGGGAAUAUUGCACAAUGGGCGGAAGCCUGAUGCAGCAGCGCCGCGUGCGGGAUGACGGCCUUCGGGUUGUAAACCGCUUUCGCCUGUGACGAAGCGUGAGUGACGGGAAUGGGUAAAGAAGCACCGGCUAACUACGUG